Molecule: long non-coding RNA, 205 nt
Filed under: Panax ginseng (ginseng)
Lineage: Eukaryota; Viridiplantae; Streptophyta; Magnoliopsida; Apiales; Araliaceae
Description: long non-coding RNA (PGIN_LNC015445)
Source: RNAcentral
AAAUGUUUCUACUACUGAAAAGCCUACUACUAUCCAGGACCUUAAGAGUGAUAUUAAUAUUCUGAAAUCUGAAAUAAAGCAAUUACAGAAUACUAAUGUUAUUAUUUUCCAAGACUUAAAAAAUAUUAAAGAACAAUUAAUUCAUAAACAGGAUAAUAAUAUAGAAUCCUCUAAGACUGAAUCUUCUGAUAAGCUAGAAUCUUCU